This is a long non-coding RNA of Plodia interpunctella (Indianmeal moth), 576 nucleotides long. RefSeq lists it as uncharacterized. NCBI's taxonomy places the organism in Eukaryota, Metazoa, Arthropoda, Insecta, Lepidoptera, Pyralidae. The record is from RefSeq and is a predicted model, not a curated record. The transcript has 3 exons.
CACUGUCAAGUUGACGGUCGACAGGUGAGUCGACAGUCUAGUCUCUCGUGCGUCCUUCUCCUUUAUAUAUCGCUUACAAAAAUGUUUACAAUAUUAUUUUUUUUAAACUGUUGAUUUGCCGAAAUAAAUAACACAGCGCAAGGCUGGUUAUUAUAUCCCAUGUGGUUGGGUUUUUGACCAAUUUAUUGACAAUUCCCGGGGUAAAUCCAUUGUAUCUAACCAAGAAAUAUAGUUUGUCUUCGAAUACAAUCGCCAUGUCAUUCCACAAUCGCAUCGUGCCAUCGACAGUCAGGACAUUAGUGUCGUUUGGACGUGGAGACGCACUGGUACAAGCUCAUAGAAUUUUGUGAACAGAAACUGAUGAUAUUGAGCUUGCAAAAGAUAUCUAUAUCAAAAAUACAAUUUGGGCAAACAGCAGACAAUUCUUUGGAAAUGGAAAAUUUUGAAAUUAUUAUGGCUCUGUGCAGUGUUCCCAGGUAUGAACACUAGAUGGCGCUGAACGUUCAUGAACAUUUUUAUUUAUUUUUCGCAGUUACUAAUUUAGUCUUUUUAUAGACUAAUGCAACUAAGGCUGCA